RNAcentral lists this ribosomal RNA (427 nucleotides) under uncultured bacterium. RNAcentral's name for it is "partial 16S ribosomal RNA". It matches the Rfam family "Bacterial small subunit ribosomal RNA", at positions 355 to 774 of the family's 1533-position model. The record is from RNAcentral.
UGUGGAAUAUUGCACAAUGGGCGCAAGCCUGAUGCAGCCAUGCCGCGUGUAUGAAGAAGGCCUUCGGGUUGUAAAGUACUUUCAGCGGGGAGGAAGGUGUUGUGGUUAAUAACCACAGCAAUUGACGUUACCCGCAGAAGAAGCACCGGCUAACUCCGUGCCAGCAGCCGCGGUAAUACGGAGGGUGCAAGCGUUAAUCGGAAUUACUGGGCGUAAAGCGCACGCAGGCGGUCUGUCAAGUCGGAUGUGAAAUCCCCGGGCUCAACCUGGGAACUGCAUCCGAAACUGGCAGGCUUGAGUCUUGUAGAGGGGGGUAGAAUUCCAGGUGUAGCGGUGAAAUGCGUAGAGAUCUGGAGGAAUACCGGUGGCGAAGGCGGCCCCCUGGACAAAGACUGACGCUCAGGUGCGAAAGCGUGGGGAGCAAACA